Molecule: RNase P RNA, 371 nt
Filed under: Candidatus Helarchaeota archaeon
Lineage: Archaea; Promethearchaeati; Candidatus Helarchaeota
Description: RNase P RNA component
Rfam family: Archaeal RNase P
About the family: Ribonuclease P (RNase P) is a ubiquitous endoribonuclease, found in archaea, bacteria and eukarya as well as chloroplasts and mitochondria. Its best characterised activity is the generation of mature 5'-ends of tRNAs by cleaving the 5'-leader elements of precursor-tRNAs. Cellular RNase Ps are ribonucleoproteins.
Source: RNAcentral
GUGAGAGUAAGGACGGUCGCCGGACGAUUUUCGUCUGAGGAAGGUCCCUUCUCCCACCUAGGCAACGAUGUGGCGUAGCCACAGGACGAGAGUCUUCCUCUGAGAACAGAAAUGACCCGUCCAUGCAUUAGAUGAUGAUGAUACGGCUGAGAAAUUAUUUCGAGAAGACCUUUGGCGACGAGGGUUGAGAUAAACCGUUGAAGAGAUGUAUGGAACCGUUGAAACAGCUCAUGAUCGUGGGAGCAAACCCAAAUAUAUUCCUGAUGAGGAGCCUAGCCGAAUAGAAUGGGUAGGGUGCACAGACCGAUACCGUCAAGGAUUCUUCAAGCAAUUGAAAUUCCUGAACAGAAAAGGGCCUACUCUACUCACAC